CCUACGGGAGGCAGCAGUGGGGAAUAUUGCACAAUGGGGGGAACCCUGAUGCAGCGACGCCGCGUGAGUGAAGCAGUAUUUCGGUAUGUAAAGCCCUAUCAGCAGGGAAGAAAAUGACGGUACCUGACUAAGAAGCCCCGGCUAACUACGUGCCAGCAGCCGCGGUAAUACGUAGGGGGCAAGCUUUAUCCGGAUUUACUGGGUGUAAAGGGAGCGCAGACGGCGGUGCAAGUCUGGCGUGAAAGGCCGGGGCCCAACCCCCGGACUGCUCUUGAAACUGUAAAGCUGGAGUGCAGGAGAGGUAGGCGGAAUUCCUGGUGUAGCGGUGAAAUGCGUAGAUAUUAGGAGGAACACCAGCGGCGAAGGCGGCUUACUGGACUGCAACUGACGUUGAGGCUCGAAAGCGUGGGGAGCAAACAGGAUUAGAUACCCGGGUAGUC
This 440-nucleotide ribosomal RNA is filed under the name uncultured bacterium. Its description in RNAcentral is "partial 16S ribosomal RNA". It matches the Rfam family "Bacterial small subunit ribosomal RNA", at positions 338 to 795 of the family's 1533-position model. The record is from RNAcentral.